AAUCAACGCUGGCGGCGUGCCUCAGACAUGCAAGUCGAACGAGAAAGUCCCCUUCGGGGGAUGAGUAAAGUGGCGCACGGGUGAGUAACACGUAGGUAAUCUACCUUCGGGUGGGGAAUAACCCAGGGAAACUUGGGCUAACACCGCAUAAAUGCAGCGGCACCACAUGGUGACAGUUGUUAAAGCGGGGGAUUUUAGGACCUCGCGCCUGAAGAGGAGCCUGCGGCGGAUUAGCAGUUGGUGAGGUAACGGCUCACCAAGGUCACGAUCCGUAGCCGGCCUGAGAGGGCGGUCGGCCACACUGGGACUGAGACACGGCCCAGACUCCUACGGGAGGCAGCAGUGGGGAAUCUUGCGCAAUGGGCGAAAGCCUGACGCAGCGACGCCGCGUGAGGGA
This 397-nucleotide ribosomal RNA is filed under the name uncultured bacterium. RNAcentral's name for it is "bacterial SSU rRNA". It matches the Rfam family "Bacterial small subunit ribosomal RNA", at positions 29 to 408 of the family's 1533-position model. The record is from RNAcentral.